This 142-nucleotide non-coding RNA is filed under the name Pseudomonas sp. RNAcentral describes it as "SAH sequence". It matches the Rfam family "SAH (S-adenosyl-L-homocysteine) riboswitch aptamer". Lineage: Bacteria; Pseudomonadati; Pseudomonadota; Gammaproteobacteria; Pseudomonadales; Pseudomonadaceae. The record is from RNAcentral.
CCGUUCGAGGGGCGCUGCAGCACGCUGCGUUAUCCCAUCCUAGCCGACCCGCCGCUGGCGCGGACCCUCGGCGGGCAUGACGCCAGACGUUGUCAGGCUCGAGCGGAGCGUUAUCAGAACGCAUCAACGGCGCCCAUUCGCA